Molecule: long non-coding RNA, 1120 nt
Organism: Cyprinodon tularosa
Lineage: Eukaryota; Metazoa; Chordata; Actinopteri; Cyprinodontiformes; Cyprinodontidae
Exons: 3
Source: RefSeq, a predicted model, not a curated record
GGGGGGGAGUUUUGGGGCCCAAGACGAGUUUGCUCCUGGACCGACUGAGUCAGAAACAGAGCAUUGAGGUGAGAAGAGAAGCCAUUAUCUCCAGCCUUAUACUGUACCAUGGGAAGAAGGAAUAUGACUUGUUUAGGACUGCUUGUUUACGAUGGCUAAAGCGAUGGCAGUGGUCAGAGGCCACUCUUCAAUAAACAACUGAAAAGAGAAAGAAGUUUGGUUAUUGGAGCGUCGUUGUCUGGCUGUCUAGCCGGCUGAAAAGUUGGGAAAACUCAGGGCGAGGACAGCACAGUGAUGUCAGUAACUCUGUUUUCAAAAUCUGACAGCUAUGAGAUUGUCCCAGGAUGCAAGAGUACAGCGAAAGCUUGUCCACUGCUUAUGGGACUGAUUUAUGCCCUGAACUGUGCAUACCCUCCUAUUUUGUGCUACACUUUUAAAGUCCUCUAAGAACUCUUGCUGGAGAUGGAUCAAUUUAAACUCUACACAAAAGAAAACACCCUGAAGUGAAAGUUACUGUCAUGAUUCUGUCUUCCUAGAGGAGGAAAAUAUUUCUGUAAUGAAUGUUUUAACUCUGACAGUGUUGUAAACUUUUCACUACAUAUUUAAAAAACACUGUUCCAGUUUGAAUGUAAAAUUUAUCACUGCCCCAUAAAGAAAUUUAGAAAUUAAAUUCACACUACUAGUGGAGUUACUUAUUUGUGAAGCCGUUUCUUUAAUGCAUAGAGUAUUGCUUCAUUUUAUUUGUAAACGUUUAUCCAGAGACAACUGGCAUCAAAUAUAUUGUUUUAGUGCGUAGUUUAACAUAAUGCAAAAAGUAAAAAAUGUUUACUUUAAUUUCAUGUCAUAAUUACAUGAAUUGCCUUUAAACCUUAAUGGCACAUUACUUAAUUAUGUACAAAAACUGGAAAUAUGUUAUGUUCUAUUGUAAACUUUAAGCUAUUGCCUUAUGUAACUAGUUUUUACAUUUCAUUCCACUUUAAUAAAACUUUGUCUUAAAUAAUGCUGUGAAGUUAUUGAAAUGUCAGCCUAUGGUUCAGCUUGAAUAAGUUUGAGAUAUUUAAAAAACAUUUUUGCCUUUCUAAAUAACUUUAACCUGGGCAUUUUUUUACCUGUAUGGGAG